RNAcentral lists this long non-coding RNA (44155 nucleotides) under Triticum aestivum (bread wheat). RNAcentral's name for it is "long non-coding RNA (TAES_LNC000292)". The stretch from base 9685 to 9819 matches the Rfam family "MIR1120/MIR1122 microRNA precursor family". Lineage: Eukaryota; Viridiplantae; Streptophyta; Magnoliopsida; Poales; Poaceae. The record is from RNAcentral.
CCCUGUAUUUUUGGAGUCGCCGGCCGGCCAAUCUUUCGGAAAUGCAUAUAGGCUGAGCUCUGUGAUGAGAUGAGAUGAGGGGAGCUGUUCAUCAUCAUGGAGCCUGGUGUUGGCGAAUGAUGCCGGCAUCUGAUCUGACUGCUGCUGCUGCUUCACGGUUCAAUGAUCUCUGAAUCUGGCCUGCCGCGGCCAUGCCAUGGCAUGUGGGCGCUGUCCCCCCGCUGUCCUGUGCGUGCGUUGGAUCACGGCCAUUUUUGGACCUUAAUGCCUCUUGUUUAAUGGCAGCGCGGCGGCAGGGUGGCCCGGUCCUGUCCUUGGAUGGAUCGCCAUGACUGACUUUGGCUGCUGCUGCUGCUGCUGCGGUGCUGCCUAGAUGAGUUGAUGGCAUUGUAGACUGCCACUUUGAUCCGUGACUGCUUGCUGUAAUGUUUCCUUUGUCCGUGUUGCAACUGUAUCUUCAAAUGUCGCUCAAUUUUACUACUCCCUCCGUUCCAUUUCAUAAUAUAAGAGUGUUUCUUACACUAGCGUCAGUGUCAAGAACGCUCUUAUAUCAUGAGACGAUGCACGAGGAAAGUAAAAAUAUCCUUGGAACUUGCUUGUUAUCCUGUAGUAAUUUUAUCCCGUCUGUCUCUGGAACUUGCUUUGGUUGUGGUGUAUUAGCACUAACCACCACAUGGGAAAAAUAUCGCCAGGACAAGACAUGAAGCCUGCCCCUGAGGUGAUGAGGUGGGUUAAUUAGCUGCUGACCCAACGCGGUAGUGACGGUCGCUCACCGGACAUUGCAGCGCUCCCGAUAGACAAACCCUUCGUCGUUUGCUCUUCUUUUUGGAGCAUGGUGUUCGCAACGAACCUUUGCAAAAUGUAUCGAAACACUCCCCAUUUACGUCAUACAGGAGAAUGGAGACGUCCGAGAUUGGCGCGCAUAGUAUGGUUGGACCAAUAAGUCUAACUCGAACGCACGACUUCAAAUGGUCCGUCCGCGUCCGCUUGAGGGUAAACAGACAAAGGAGACCUUUCAACGCACAGCCGCAAACGGACGACGGUCCGUUUUCGACCAUUUUUCUAGCCCAAAUUUGAGCCGAGUGUGCGGCCGAACAGGCCGGGCAUGCGCCCUUGUUCUCCCCUAGCCCGCCCGUCGGUGGCACAGUGCAGCCACUUUCCCUCCCUUUCCUUCAAAACCCUCCCCCNNNNNNNNNNNNNNNNNNNNNNNNNNNNNNNNNNNNNNNNNNNNNNNNNNNNNNNNNNNNNNNNNNNNNNNNNNNNNNNNNNNNNNNNNNNNNNNNNNNNNNNNNNNNNNNNNNNNNNNNNNNNNNNNNNNNNNNNNNNNNNNNNNNNNNNNNNNNNNNNNNNNNNNNNNNNNNNNNNNNNNNNNNNNNNNNNNNNNNNNNNNNNNNNNNNNNNNNNNNNNNNNGUCGGAGCUGACGCCGAAUCAGCCAAGAGGAAGAACCAGCGAACUGUCGCCGCCGUAGAUCACUCGUCAUCGAACUUGAGCAUGUCGGCCUGCAUCUUCUCGAGCCACGGCCUCCUCCUUGGCGACACAGUGUUGAGAUCCACCUGCAUGAUCUCCACCCAGGCCACCAUGCUCGCGAGAGCCACUUCUUUCGCCUUGGUCUUGGCAUUGGCGGCCUUGAUCUCUAGCAUCUUCGCUUGCUUCUCCGCCUCCAUCUCAAGCAUCUUGGCUUGCUUCUCCGCGUCCAUCUCAAGCCUCCUCCUUUGGAUCUCCAAGAAGGCGUUCAUUUGCUCUUCCUUGUCUUGCCGGCGCUUCUCCUCUAUUGAGUCCUUCUUGGUCAUCAUGCCCUCCACGGUUGCGAUCAAGGCGAUCGACGCCGCAUCCCGCUUGUCGUCCUUGGAGUUAGUCUUCCCCCGCGGCCGAGCCUUCUAGCCGUCCCCAACCUCCUCCACGGCUUGCUUCCCCCCACGCGACUUGAGGAGGGCAUAUUACGCCUUGAACUUCUCCUCGUCUUUGAUGAACUUAAAGCAAUGGGAGAGGUUGAAGCACUUGCCAUUGUGUUGGACCUUAAAUACCUCCAAAGCUUGAAAUGCCUACAAAUAUAUUUCAUCCAAGCAUAUUGGUAAAUGGUAUGCAAACGAACACACAAGCAUAAACUUGAUGACACAAAAGAGGGUGGCUUGCUAGCAUACCAUGUCUUGCAUGCCAAUGCCGCUCACGGGGCGGGCCUUGACGCUCUCAAGAGUGGCACACAACUUGUUCCGCUCUUAUUGGAUCACCCUCCAUCGCUUCGAAAUGGACACCCACCCGCACGUGCUUACUAUUUGGUACGGCGGAAACUUCUUGCGCUCAUGGAACUCAUGGUGGACACGAAUCAAAAAAGUUGAAUGCUUUUGUUCAGCGCCCGUCUUGGGGUCUUGCCCAAUGUCUCUCCAACACUCGCAAAAAAGCUUGUCCUCGGCCGUCGUGUAUCCUUGGUCCGCUUGCUCUUGCGCUUCAGCUUCACCCCGACGGAUUGGUUGGCGAGCUCGUCCUCGAACAAAGGCUCCCCUUCGAUGUCACACUCAUCCUCUUCGUCUUGCCCGUAGUCCUCCGAAAACUCGUGGUCGAGAGGGAAGCCGUCCAGGUCCAGGCCGACCUGAUCACGCAUGAAGGCCGCCUGAUCUUCAUUGUAGCUAGCGGACGGCGUGAACGCCCCUCGGCCGUCCUGGCUUUGUGCCUCGUCGAGAUCGUAGCCAACGACUUGCGCACCACCCUCGAAGAUCAUGUUCUGCAUGUAGUCCUCGUCGCCAGCGGCCGGCAUUCCGUCGAACAGGUUGCGUGCGCCGGAAGUACGUCGGCUGGCAUCUGCUGCACGUGUUUCCUCGCGCCUAUGACGAGCCACCAGCCACCAGUAUGGCGUUGAGGUCGAUGGGCGCGGGCGCGGGCGUGGAAGGCGCGACCACGCUAUCCCCGGAGAGGCGGGAGGCCUGCGGGUAAACAUGGAAGCGGGGCAUCGGGGUGCAAGCCGACGCGCGAGGCGAGUCGGGCAGCACCAUCCGAGGGAAUGCAGAUGAGCCGGUGCUGGCCGCGGCCACGGCGGCGUUGACGAGGCCGUGCUGGAUAGGGUUUAACCUAGCAUAUAGAGCGCCUCCCUUGUUGCUGCAGCGAGGCGGGCGUUGGUGACCUCCUGCUGCGCGGCGGCGGCGACGGCGGCCACCACGAUAGCUUCAUCCCUCGCGUCCGCUGCGUGCCUCCGAUCCUUCCUCCUGGCCGACUCCCUUGCCCGCUGUUCGGGCGUCAGCGCCUUCUUCGGCUUGGGCGCGGCGGUCUUGCGUGGGGCGCAAGGCUUGCCUUUGCCGGAGGGGGCGGUCGGCAUGGCAGACGUGGCGAGGAAGGCGAGGCCGGCGGCGGCGUCGAGGUCGUCGUCCAUGCGGGGGUGGGGCGGGAAGGUUUAUUUUGGGGGACGGAGGAAAAUGGUGAAGGCUGCCACCAACCAGUAGGCCCGAGGGAAGGAGAAGGCGCGCGCGCGUCCGCCUUGCGUCCGCGCUGAUGCAAAUCCGGCUCAAAAAUGGGCCGGAAAUGAGUCGGCAGGCGGAAGUCAAGCGAACGCGCGUCCGUUUGGGUCGGUGCGUUGGGCCGAUUUUUGUGUCGAACAAAAUGGAUCGCUUCGUUGAAGUUGUUCUUGAUGCCUGUUGUUUAAUUGGAGCGCCGUGGCAGGGUGGUCCGGUUCUUGGAUCGCCAUGACUCUGGCUUCUGCUGCGGUGCCACUUGAUCUGUCACUAUCCGGGCUACUGCAUGUUGUAAUGUUUCCUGUGUACGUGUUGCAAAUCACCAUCUACUCUCUCGGUCUAUCCAUCCUGCAUUUUUUGUCCUCAUUUAUUUCCGUGCCAAAUUUUGACCAUAAGUUACCUAACAAAAUGUGCAUGAAAUCCAACGAUAAGUUUUUUGUUUGCAUGCACUAACAUUUCGUCAGUCGAAUCUUUGAUCAAAAUUUAGUAUAAAUUAUAAAGGGGACCAACAAAUAAAUCAGGAUGGAGGUAGUAAAUCAUCAGUGGAAGAUGCAAUUUUACAAGUAUUCAAGUGGCAAAAAUGGAUGAACAGCACCUGCUGCACGAAAGAGAGCAAGGCGUUGGUGUGGGUAUGGGACUGUGGACGGGAGUGAAAUUUCAGAGGAGACAAGCUUUCGUUUGACGGGGACAUCACACGGCACCAGCUGGAAACGUGUCCACGUCAGGCGAUAUGACUUCCUAGUGCUUGGUGUGACGAAGCACGAGGCGGGCAGAAAUAUCUUUGGAACUUGCUUUAUUAUCCUGUAAUUUUAUACUACUCCUAGUGACAAGCCUGUUCUAUCACUAACCACUUCAAGAAAAAUAUCUCUGGAACUUGCUUAUCCCACUUUCGUACUCCCUUCAUCUUAAAAUAUACCGUGCUUCUCUAGGUUCAACUUUGACCAUACAUUUAAUGAACGAGAACCUAGACCAUACAUUUAACCAACGAGACCGACUGCGACGGAAUAAAAAAUUAUAUAGUUGAAAACUUUUUUGAAUACGGAUUCAUUGGUAUAAACUUUUGAUCUCACCGCAGUAUAAUUUUUGAUUCCGUCGCAGUCGGUCUCGUUGGUUAAAUUUAUGGUCAAAGAUAAAAAGUGAAAAUCGAGGAUACACUAUAUUGGAAGGAGGGAGUAAUGAUGUAUUAGUACUAACCACCACGUGGAAAAAGAUAUCUGGGGUGGCGUCACGUCUCAUGCCAGGACAAAAGAUGAAGUCUGCCUGAGGUGGGUUAAUUAGUCGCUAACCCAACGCGGUAGUGACGGUCGCUCACCAGACAGUGCAACGCUCUCGAUCGACAAACUCUGCGUCGUUUCUCAUCUAUAAUGCUAGAUCAUCGUUAGCGCGCGCUGCUGGUCCCUUUCAUUUUGACAAUAGAAUGACAUGAAUAUAUGUAAAUAUGUCGGCACACAAAACAUAUAAAUUAGAUCUAUAUAAACUUACUCACAUAUUGCAGAUAAUUUUUAUUAGUUCAAUAAAAACAUAAAGGGAUCCACUUACACAAAAUGAUUAGUUUUUUCUAGUCUUAUAUUUUUACAUUAUGAGAGUAAAGAUGCAAAACUGCCAACAAUUGCAUACAAGGACUAAAUCCUGUUGUACAUCAGCAAGGACCAAGUAAUGGUAUACAAUACAUAAUUUAGAACAGAAAACUACUACUAUGGCUAAGAAGUCUUUCGAAUAUAUGACACGACGAGGACACAGAUUGAUAAAAGAAGGAAGUAAAGAAGGCUUGGGGACUCUAUAUUAUUGGGUAUGCCACUCUGGUUGAUUCAAAAUUAACAUAAAUGUAUAGGGAACAUAUGCCACUUACCAUGAUUCAAGAACCAUGCAUAUCAUAUCCAUUCUCUGUUGAUUUGUCUAAUGCAUUUUGAUUUGGUUCAACUGAUUUCGAACUGCUUUUAUAGCACUGCAAAGAGCAUAAUAGCUCAAGGGAUGUAUCUUCCUUGCCGCUCUCCUAGAGACUACAAUACACUGGACAAGGAACUCAUCUUCAUUUAGAUAGUCCUCCAUUUUCCCUAAUGCAUGUUAACUACUUGAUCAGCAACCAUUUUAAAUAGUCAGCUCAUGAAUUCCGCUUCCGGAAAAAUAAUCUAGAUCCAACCUCCAAUAAUCCCCAAACCGAUAUACCAUAACCUGUAGCAAAAUAAAAACAGAUUUGGACGAGUCAGACUGAACCAAUGGAGAAGGUAAUGGUAAGGGAAAAUAUGGUAGAUUAAAGAUGACGCACAUCCUAAUGAAGAAGCAAUCCAUGUAGUAUUUUGGGAGAAGAGCUCAAAUCUAGGGCUCAACCACUGACCAGUUCCAUAGCAAACACACACGAACAUAUCACCACACGGAAGACCUCUCCUGCAAUGUGAUGUAAUCAUAUAGCAGAUGAGUUGAAUCCAGUAGGGGGGGGGGGGAGAUGGGUGCGUGCGGAGAUGGGGCUUACAUGUGAUGGUGGCAACAUGACCCAGAGUCGUUGGUUCGCCGCCGGCCUGCGAGAGAGAGGGUUGAGGUGAGCGAGCUAUCGUGGGAGAAAAAGAGAUGGGCGUCGGCAACAUCACCCGCCGCCGGACAGAUAGGGUGCCAUGACCGAUCGAUCCAUCCCUGCAUCGGCCUCUCACCUCUCGCGCAGCGGCGGAUCCCCUUCUCCUUUCUCGCGCACCGGCGGAUCCCCCUUCUCCUUUCUCUCGCAGCGACCGAGCAGUUUCUGUCCGCUGAGCAAUUUUUUUUUCUCAGGAGGGUUCGCGACCGGGUGGAUCAAUGACAGGCGUUCAGAAAAGACCACGAGUAGCGGCCCAUUAGGACAGGCGGCCCAGGUUGCGGUACAUCGGCGCUGAAACGAAGAUCUGACGGCCAGAAAAAGUUGAAACGCUAAUCUGACGGCCGAAAUUAUCAACUAAAGAUCCAACGGCCAAAAAGGUUGAUGGUUUGAGAGGGCUGGAAUAGUGCUCGGUUAUAAUGUCUUUAAAUAUGCUCUAGUGGCGCAAUCAUACCUUUUAGUGUUCACUUGCCUGGCUUAGUGCAACCCCUCUCUUCUUUUUGGAGUACGAUUUUCACAAUGAAACGCUCCCCAUCUUUACAAUAUGCUGAUGUUGGUCUUGGGUGGAUUUGGUUGGAUCCGGUCUUUGUUCUUCUUUAGUGGACCUGUUUUGAUUCUGCAGUCUUUCGUCUUUGCCCGUGUAUUUACAAGUUUGAUCCUUCUGAUCUACUUUUCUCUUUGUUGGCAACGGUUGUUGUUUUGUUCUGUUGUGCUGACCAGCCAGUGCCUUAGCUUAGCAUGACCAUUUCUCUGAUGUCCACUAUAAUAAAGUUUUCCCGCCUACGGUGAGGGAGAGGCGACGACGACGAAGACAUGCUUUCGACUCGUUUCAGUGCUUGUAGUCAUCGCUGGCUGGUCCAUAGCCGGGUUGUAAUUUCUGUCUCUGCUUGUGUUCUUUGUAAUGCAUGACAUGAUAGAUUAUGAAUAGAUCAGGAAUUUUUCUAAAACAUAUUGGAUGAAGAGAUAGAUCGUGUCACGGGCACCCUACACGCAAUUAAACCCUACACGAACACAAGCAUCGUGCUGCCAUACCGGCGUGUGGUUCCACUCCACGUUGGACACACAGGAGAAUGGAAUCGUAUGGCGGUAUGGGUAGCUGGCCGUGAUGAAGAGCGUCACGUCCGAACAUGGAGCGCAUGGACCAUCCAUGUGUGUAUGGGGAAGUACUCGAGGAGGAACUACCACUGUUGGGUUCGGUUCUCACCUCACAUUGCCACCACAUAUACAUUUUAAAUAGAAGCAAAAAUAAUCAAACAAACAAAAUAAAUUAACAAUAAAUAGUUCAAUUUCGUUAUCACUACAACCCAAACAAAUAGUUUAUCGUUCAGUACAACAAAUACUGCAAUAAACACAACAAAUAGUUCAUGAACAAUACAAUGUCGAAUGCAGAAAUCAUGCUCUUUGUCGUUCAUGCCAUGCCCACCACUCUUCAAUCAGAUCUUUCUGAAGUUCAUUGUGCGUUGCGGGACGCCGAAUAGCAUGAUAGGAGACAACAAAACGGGCUACCCUUUCAGCCCUCCGUCGCACUCGCACGGGAUGUUCCAAGAGCUCAUACUGUGAGUAGUCUAAAUCUUGGCCACGCUCAUUCUCGAUGAUCAUGUUGUGCAUGAUCACACAAGCGUGUAUGAUGUACCAAAGCAUUUUUUGAUCCCAAAAUCUAGCCGGUGCUCUCACAAUAACAAAUUGGGCUUGCAAAGUCCCAAAUGCUCUCUCCACAUCUUUUCUAGCCGCCGCCUGAGCAUUGUGGAAAUCAAGAUUUUUCUUACCUUCCGGCUUUUUCAACGGCUUCACGAAGGUUUGCCAUUUUGAAUAGAUGCCAUCCGCUAGAUAGUAGCCAUAGUUGUACGUACGGCCAUUUGCUACAAACUGCACUGGUGGCAACUCACCAUUUGCAAUCUUAUUCGUCAAUGGUGACUGGUUGACAACAUUGAUGUCAUUCAAAGAUCCGUGCAUUCCAAAGAAUGCAUGCCAAAUCCAAGUCUUCUGAUCGGCCACCGCUUCAAGGAUUAUAGUGGAACCCUUUUUUUUGGCUGUGGAAUUGCCCAUGCCAUGCCUUUGGACAAUUCUUCCAACUCCAAUGCAUGCAAUCUAUUGAGCCAGGCAUGCCAGAAAAGCCGCGAGCUUUGUUCAUCGCCAAUAGCCUUGCGACAUCUUCAGCAUUGGGAGAUCUCAAAUACUCCUCGCCAAACACUUGCAUAAUUCCCACUGCAAAGCGCUUGACACACAUGAUGGCUUGGCUCUCAUCCAUAGCCAAGUGAUCAUCAACUAGAUCAUCCGGGAUACCAUAUGCCAACAUACGCAAAGCGGCUGUCACCUUCUGAAAGGUGCUAUGCCCGAGCUCUCCGGCGGCAUUCCUCCUUUGCUGAAAAAACUGGUCAUGGCUCGCUAGUUUCUCUGCAAUGCGCCUGAACAAGUCGGUACUCAUCCUAAACCGGCGACGAAAAUACGACUCCGGGUAUGUGGGAUUCUCCACAAAAUAGUGCCUCAUCAAUCUGUUAUGGGCAUCAAUCCCAUCUCUCCAAAUUUUCUGCCGACCUAUAACCGAACCACCGUGCUUCGGUUUUUUAUUGAUAUGCAUAGCUAGGAUCAUUGCAAGAUCCUCCUCCUCUUCCAUAUCAAAUUCUUCUUCGGAAGAAUCAUACGACGAACUCAUCUAUAAUGUUCAAUACUAUACUAUAAAAACUACAAAUAAAAACAUGCACCAAAUUCAUGAAGUUUGAGCAAUACAUACCUUGUAGGCGUUUUGUCGAACACCUUGCGGGCGCGGGCGGCAGCGAGCGCUCGGGCGUUNNNNNNNNNNNNNNNNNNNNNNNNNNNNNNNNNNNNNNNNNNNNNNNNNNNNNNNNNNNNNNNNNNNNNNNNNNNNNNNNNNNNNNNNNNNNNNNNNNNNNNNNNNNNNNNNNNNNNNNNNNNNNNNNNNNNNNNNNNNNNNNNNNNNNNNNNNNNNNNNNNNNNNNNNNNNNNNNNNNNNNNNNNNNNNNNNNNNNNNNNNNNNNNNNNNNGGCGGCGCGGGGAUAGGCGGGGGAAGCGCCGGAACGGCCGCCGGGGGGCGCGGGCGGCGGCGGCGGCGCGGCUGGAUGGGGGUGAAAGUGGGAGAGCAAGCGCGCGAGAGUCCAGCGCGCGGGAACGGGCGCAGCAAAUAAGCGACACACGAUCGUUUCGGCCAGCGCGCUGAACAACAUAUGCCGCGCGCUAUUUUUGCGCGCCCGCUGAAGCAACUACAACGGUUGCACGCGCGCUAAAACAUCCAUUUUUGCGGCGCGGCGCUAGUUUGGCGCGGCUGUUGGAGAUGCUUUUAGAAAUGACCAGCGCUGUUCCUUGGGAGACAACAGCGCAGCACAGCACAGGGCUCGCUGUCAGCAAGGUUCCAGCAGACAUCUAUGGCGUAGCAUGCUUCUGAGCUUCUCAUAUAUAAUUGCAACUUGCUAGCCUUGUCUGAGACCUCUGAUGGUUAGCUCAGCCCAUUCUUUACCUUUUCAUGUCCGGUUACUGUCUGUAAUAUUUGCAUUCAUUAACAAUAACAAGUGCAAACGAGAACACAAUCAACUUAAUGCUCUAUAUCAGCUAUAAGUUAUUACAUGUUUUAGGGUAGUUGGCAUUUUUAUAAGCCGCCCGUUCGUCUCGAUCCAACGGUAGAUAAAUAGAUAGUACUAGGUAGUGAGGAAAGUAUUUAAAACUUAAAAGUACUCUCUCCGUCCCAAAAUUCUUGUCUUAGAUUUAUCCAAAUACGAAUGCAUCAAGUCACGUUUUAGUAUUAGGUACAUCCGUAUCUAGACAAAUCUAAGACAAAUUUUUUGGGACGGAGGGAGUACUUCGCAACAUUAGGUCAGUACUCAACAUUAGUUGGGGUCGCUUCUUAAUUGAAGGGUAAAUUAGUCAUUAGGAGCGCCGCCCCUCUCGUCCAAUCCACAACCGCUGCAGCCGCUCCUCGCCUCUUGCAUUCCAAAUUCAAUGUCACCUCUCUCCUCUUCCAUCCAUUCCAAAACCGCCGACCGCCGCUCCUCUCCUCCACCGCCGCCUGCCGCUCCUCUCCACUUCCAUCCAAUUCCAAAACCGCCGACCGCGAAGCAGAUUGAUGGAGGACAAUGAGCACGUGAAGAUCGCCGGCAGCGACGAGGUGAAGUUAGCAAGGCCGAGGGAGAUCGGUUCUUGGUUUGAAUUUUUGAUUCUCCAAAAUCUCUGUAAAACCAUGCAAAAACCAAAAAGAUAAAAAUAAGAAAUGCGUAUAGAAAAAUAAAAAAAAUCCUGAAGAAGCGCCCAACAAGCGGCACGUGACGGUGUCUGAGAGCGUGCCAAAUGACAUGCUCUUAGCCCACCCAAAGUGAACCUUGAGGGGCUCCCAAGAGGUAUCCCUAGAUAUCCCUAAAUUAGUUGUUCUCGCGUUAAUUGCGUUGUGUGUAGCUCUAGCUAACCCUAAAGCUUCAUGCGUGAAUCCUAUGUGGCGCUUACUGUGUCACUUUUUUUUUCCGAGAAACGCUCGCUGCUUCACAUUGUUGACCGUUCGCAUAGGAUGGGCGGACCAAUUUUAAUGUUAAGAAGAGAUUUGUCGUUCUGGUUUUGGGAACAUUUUGAAAGGUUCUAGUUCGGUUUUACAUGUUCUAGGGACCUUGUAGAAGGUUCAUGAACUGUUUUUCUGGCAUUAUUGUGUUUUUUUUCUUUUUUAUGUUUUCUUAUCAUUCUUUUCUAUUUGGUUUAUUUUUAUUUUUCCUUUUUCUUGUUUUCCUAACUAUAGGGAUUUGAAAUAUAUAUUCAGAAUUAAAAAAUAUAUUUACUUUUUUGAAAAAGUUCAGAAAUCUAAAAAGGUUAAAUUUUCAAAAAAUAUUCAGAAUUUUCAUAAUAUGUUCCUUUUUAAAAAAUUGUUUUAUAAAAUUCAAAAGUAUUUUGUAUUUCAGAAAGAUGUCUGCAAAUUUGAAAUUUUUUUUGGUACCUUUCAAAAAUAGUCUCGUUUUCAUAUUUUGUUCAUAAUAUUUUAAAAAUAUUAUUUUUCCGAAUUUUUUUUGGAAUUUCAAAAAAUUUCAUGAUUUUCAACGAGGUUCAUAUCUCCAAAACUAAUUCAGAAAAUUAAAGAACCGACAGAAUUUCAAAUAAGGUGUGUUUUCAUAAAUUGUUCCUGUAUUCAAUUUACAUUAGCAAAUUCAAAAACAGUUCAUUUUUUCAGAAAAUGUAUGCAUGUACCAAAAAAUGAGAAAAAUAUUUCUGAUUCUGAAAAAAAUAUCACACAAAAAUUAUUCAUGAAAAAUAGCAGAUCUAUGUGGAGCACCGAAAAUGUUCACAAAUUAGAAAAAGGACAAGAAAAGGAAAGUAAAAAUGGAUAAGAAAAAAAGAUAUAAAAAGGAAAGGAAAGAAAAGUAGAUAAACUAAAAGAAGAUAGCAAGAGUAAAAGGAUGGGGAAAACCUUCUAGAACCUUCCCAGAUAGGGCGGAACUUCCUAAUGUUUCACAAAAUCUUCUCUUACGCUCCCGGUAAAUGGGCCGGCCCGCUAGACAUGACUGUAGGUGAUUGUGAGGAUAGCACUCACAUUGAGUGAUAUACAUCAUUUGCGUUAAGCAAGCCCUAAGGAAGCGUCACUUCUGUUUAACACGGUGUACCACAUUUGCUACUGAGCGCUCUCGUACCUGUCCUAUCCGAUUGAGCCAUAAGUGAGAGCGAGAAAACACAUUUGUUUUCUUUUUUUUUAACUUAAGUUUUUUUUCAGAAAGGUUUUAUUUUAAUUUGAAAAUAUUAAAGAAGCAGGGAAAAAUCAUGAAUUUUUAAAAACUUCAUUAUUUUUAAAACAUAUUAGCAAAUUCAAAAAAUGUUCACAAAGUUUUGAAAAAUUCAUGAAUCCGAAAAAUAUAAUUGAUUUGAAAGUGAUUUCAUCAAUUUGAUUUUUUUCCCAAAAUGUUCAAGAACUUGAGAAUUGUUUCAGAAUUUUCAAAUUGUCCGAGAUUUUUUUUUCAUGAAUUUAGAAAGUUCCACAAAUUUUCAAACUGUUCAUGACUUUGAAAAAUUGGUCACAAUUUGGAAUUUAAGGACUGCAAAAAUUAUUGAAAUAUAAAUUGUUCAGGAAUUUACAAUUGUUUGCGAAUUUGAAUAAUGUUCCGUAAUUUGAAAUUAUGUUUAAAUGUGAAACAUGCUCAAUAAAAUCUUCACGGAUUUUAUAAACCUCAAGAAUUCUGAAAAUGUUUUUGAUUUCGACGAAUGUGCACGAAUUUUAAAAAGGUUCAUCAUUUCAAAAAAUGAUCACAAAUUCAUAAAAAGAAAGGGAAGAUAACAUAAAAAAAUUAGGAAAAACAAAACAAAAAAUAGAAAGAAAAUCUAGAAAAAAAAUCAAUAAAAUCGGUAUGGUCUCCCUAGUUGUUCGCUUCCUCCUGCUAAAUCAGUCGUGUCGGUAAUACUGUUUAGUGGGCGAUCGACAUGAUAUUACUUUCCUGCUAAAUCAGUCAUGUCUUUAGACUAAGUUUAUACUAAGGGAGUUAUACGGGCGCCGUGUGUCGUGAAGGUACUAUUUGGUGCCCCAAAUAGGAAAUGCCCACGAUCUAAGUCGUCAAUGUUUAAGCGGACCACUCGAGAAGCUGCCAAGUCUUAGAGUCAUAUGGACACAGCCCAUCCAGUCAGAUGACAGGGCGGUCGCUCAACAUGCAUGGGGUAUCCGCUACCCGUGAAACCAACGGGUAAAAAUCCUAUUAAGGUAAGGGUUUGGGAAAAAUAAUUAUCCAUGGGAUUAUAAAUGGAAAAAAAAUUUAUACCCAUCAAGUAAGCCGGGAUGGGUAUGAGAAGUCAAUACCCAUCACUACAAAAAAAAAGACACAUCCGUGACAUUUUGGAUUAAACGAUUUUUUUUGUCAUACUUAUGACACUUCUAUGACGAUAAUUGUGACAAAACUAGGUAUCAUCAUAGAUGUGGUGAGCUCCUUCUUCAAUGACAAAAAAUCAUGACAGAAAAUGAGCUUUUCGUCCCGGGCAAGCCGGAGACGCAACUGCAUGACAUUCUUUGGACCGUCCAUGAUGGAAAAAACCGUGAUAGAAGCGAGGGCGAGGAAAAUGGGCUUUUCGUCCUGGGCGGGCCGGAGACGCAGCUGCAUGUCAUUUUACUUUCAUGCUAAGCGAGGGCGAGGAUAAUUGUGACAAAAUUAUUGCGCGCGCUGCUGGGUCCCUACUGUCAUCCUCAGCAUGCACAGUCAUCUCCUUAUUCCUCUCGGUUGUUGACCAUGUUGACAACACCGGAGGGCGGCGCCACAGCGAGCGAACAAAGGCGGAGGACGAUGAUGAGGUCUCAGACGGAAACGAACAGGAGCCGGGGAAGAUGCGCAGAGUUUUAGGGUGCGAUGUGGCCACGAUGCGUGCGCGGCAGCACAGCUAGCCGUGGGAGACGGGAGCAGGCGAUCCGCCGGCGCUGGUUUAGCUUUGGCGGCUCGAGGAAGAAGAGACUGAAGAAACAUAACAGACGUUGAAUGUCAGUCCAACGGUCAAGGUUGGCAAUAUCGUUUGUUGACUAAGCCGACACCAAGUAGCAUACUUUUUUAUAUAUAGGAAGAAAAGAAAAACUGGGCACGUUCGCGUGAUAACAUUCCCUGAACUGUGAAUGUUCGAUCUUGUGUUGCAACUAAAACUGCGAGAAAAAUGCGUUCGUCUGCCAUCCUCCUCCUAGGAAAUGUUUGCCACACAAGUGACUAGUGUCGUGGUUCUAAGGCUGACAGUAGAAAGGGGGGUAGGUAUGGAGAGGCAAGAUCUCAGCUAUGGUGAAGGUGUACACACAAGAUUUACGAGUUCAGGCCCUUCUCGGAGGAAGUAAUAGCCCUACGUCUCGGUGCCCGGAGUCGGUCGACUGGAUUAUAUGUGUUUGGUAUUACAAGGGGUGCGAACCCUUGUCCUAGAGGAGGGGCGUGGCUUAUAUAGAGUGCGCCAGGACCCCAACCAUCCUCCAUUACAAGGGGCUUAAUGUACAUAAAGUAGGGGCAUUAUUGAUAAUGCCAAUCUUAAGUGCUAUUAAUGACCUUAAAGACUACGAAGUGAACGCCCGACCGUGGUAAUGCUGAGUGACUCCUGAUCUUCGGUAGGUCGAGUGGUUCCUUGUAUGGUCGAGUGACAACAAGUAGGAGGGGUAUCCGAGUGAUAUGAUUGGUCGAGUGGAUUGCACUCGACACCUUUGACUGGGGGUCCUUCGUUGCCUCUUGGACUUCUUACCUUCUAGGGUAGUGACCUUGUGUAGGACUUAUAGGUCAGGCCUAUGACCCUAUCCCAGGUCUGUAUCCUCAUCAGUAGCCCCCGAAUGGAUUAAGGUUCGAGUGAAAAGUAGGUUGAAGUUGAACUUGUUCUGAACUUUGCACCUCGCGAGUGUUUUUCGCAGGAUGGAAGACUCACGUUGGUACUUCAGCGUUGAUUCAGUCGCCUUGAUCCAUUCAGAAAGUUGUCGACUGAACUUGUGGCAUCAUCUGUCGAGUGCUGUCUUGGGGUGCAGAAUCUUUGGCGCGAUUGAUCGCAGGGUAUCUCGGAUUUCACGGGAUAUGAAAUUUCGGGGAAGUGCACGGGACGGGGCAUGCCGAAGUAAGCGGGGCGGAUAAAUAGUAGUGCCUCGAUUUCCGUGCCGCCUUUUUCGCCACGUACGUUGCGCGUGACUGUUGCGGGAUUUGACAGGAUCGCCUGGUCCCACGCGUGAGCCACUUGGAAGCAACCUUUUAUAAGGCAACGGGGCCAAGGCGUCCGCACUGUGCACGCCUGCUUCUCUUUCUUCUUCCUUUGCUUCUCCACCGCAUCCAGUUCUUCUGCUCUCGACGCUGCCGCUCCGCCGCCAUGGUAAAGGACAAGACGGCAGCGCUGGAGCACGCGAAGAAGGCGACAGGGGCGGCCAAAGGUAAGAAGCAUAACCGCGGGUCAUCGUCACGUGUGGGGCUGCCGCCAGGCUGGAUCCAGGGCGAUUGGAUCCGGUCUUCGAUCCGGCAAGAAGAUCUUGACGAACUGGAGGAGUCCGGGCUGAUCGCCAAGGGUGCAGCAAGGCCACCUGAGGGGGAGACGGAGCCGCAACCUCGACCUGGUGAGUGUGUACUGCUUGCCACCCACGUCGACCGGGGUUUUUUGCUCCCUCCGCACCCCUUCUUCCGGGGCUUCCUGAACUUCUUCGGUGCCCAACUCCACCAUUUUUCUCCCAAUACCAUCAUGUACCUUGCCGCAUUCGUGUUGAUGUGUGAAAACUUUUUGGGGUGUCGACGCACUAGGGCCUUUUCAAACAUAUCUUUACCAUCCGUUCCCAGUCGGUGAAGAAAGCGAAAGCGAGUGACUGAAAGACCCAUGUCAUCCAGAUGUGUGGGGGUUUGGGUAUCCAAAAGAGGCAUAGGAGUUCUUUCCCUGCUAUGACUCUUCCUGAAUCGAUUAGGGGUUGGCAGUCGACCUGGUUCUAUUGCCAGGAUGUUCCAACUCCAGGUCAGUCGACUGACCUUCCCCACUUCACUUUCGACCGUGUCCAGACCCCUUCUCCACUGAAGGUGACUGCUGCUAAGAACAUGGAGAUGAAGAUGUUGGUUGAGAAAGUGGUCCAACUGAUUAACGAGGGUGUCACUGGCCUGCACCUAUUGGAAGUAUUCCUUAGUCGACGCAUCCAGCCUCUUCAGGCCCGUGACCAUCCCAUGUGGCUGUACUCCGGGUCCGACGACACCGCUCGGGUUCAUCCAGAGGAAGUGCCACCCAAGACUGUGGUCGUGUGGUUGAAGGGCAUCAUAGGCAACCAGGACAACCCCAGAGGAGCUAGGCGAGUCAUCCCCUUCAGUGACGACAAUCAGCCCGACAAGGCAUGUUCUUUAUUCCGACUGUCUUUGCAUACAUAUUACGAUGUUUCUCUCUCUCUACAAUUCCGUGAGAGGUCAUCGUGCUUCCUGAUGAUGAAGAAGAGGGAGUGCCUCUAGAGGAGAGGAGGAGGAGAGGUGGAGGCUCGAGCAGGAGAAAACUUGAAGUUCAAGUCCCUCAGUCGACGCCGGCGCUUGAGGCGGUGGUCGAGCAUUCCGGAGGUCCGGUUCGGACCAAUGUCACAUUCGCCAGCCCGCCGACGACUGAUCGUCCAUCGGGGUCGACUGCUCCGGUUACUGCAGCUCCAGUGCAACUCCAGUCGUUUGACCCAGUAGCUGCUUUGGCUCCCUUGGAGCCAUCACUCUUCGCUGCAUAUCAGACCCCAGAUGAUUCGCCAAGUGCUGCCAGGGAGGCUCUUCGCCAGGUGAACCUUGUCAUGGAGUAGGUGAAGGUGAUGCACGAGGCCAGUCAGGUGGCUUAUAACGCCAGCACAUCCCUACAGACCAAUGUUCAGGUCAGCGAACUCCGACUGAAUUUUUUGAAUGCUGUUUUAUAUCCGAUCACCCACUGGGGUGUGCCUGUGUUUAGAGUUUAGGAAAUCCUCCACUUCACUCGACUCGUGAUGAGUCUUAGUGGUCUGUCCGGAUCAGUGGGGGCACGCUAAGUGCACCCACUAGGUGUAAUCCCCGAGACCACGGUCGACUGCUGGCAGUCGACUGAGGUCUUAGAAUCCUUUUUUUCUCGCGCUAGGCAGACCCUGCCAAGUGUUGAUCUGAACCAGUGGGGGCACGCUAAGUGCACCCACUGGGUGUAGUCCCUGAGACUACUGUUGAAUAUUUGAUUCGGCAGUAGUCUUAGAGUAACUUAUCACUGUCAUUGUCUCUUAUUUCUGUCGACUGACAUAUCUCUCUCGCUGACUGCAGAGGUCUUGUAAUUUUGGAGCUCGAUUGUCUAAGUUAAAGAAGAAGCAUAUCAGCGUUGAACUUGGUCUUGAACUCGCAAAGAAGAACCUCAAGACUGCUCAAGAAGAGACGACCAUCAUGGGAGGUAACCAAUCGACUCUUUGCCACUUAGUAACUCACAUCUUUCACUGCUUUUUCUUCCAGUCUCUUUGAACCGAGUGACUUCACACAAGCAGAUGUGCAUAGUGAAAACCGUCAACUUUAGGCUCGUCUGAAGAGUGUUGUUCCUUUAGAGAAAAUGAAGGAAGCUUUGGAGAAGAAGGACCAGGAUCUUGCUGCUGCUUAGAAGGAAGCACGUGAGAAGACAACGCUUGCGGACGAGAAGCUGGCUUCGGUCGGCAAGUUGGAAGAGGAGAACGCGAAGUUGAAGACCGCCAUCUCGGAAGCCAAUCGAGAAGUCGAGCAAGUGAAGAAGGACAAGGAGAACCUGACCACUGAAGUUGGAUGCCUCAGAGCCAAGACAGGCAAGUUAGAGUCCUAUCUAGGACAACUUGCCGCAACACUGGUUCUGAAGCUUGAAGGUACAGCCGCUCGACUGGUCAGUUGUCGUCGAUUGAAGUAUGUAGUAAUAUUGUCGACUCACUAUUUUUCGUGAUGGGACAAAACUUUUCCAGGAUUUUGAAGCUGAAACUGGGCGGGUCGAGACAGGUCUCGACCCCAUCAAUUGUCCUGUGAAGGAUGAUGUUGCGAUGGAUUUGCUGCGGUUGAAAUCACUCUUGGACGGCGCCGUUGCCUAUCUGGCUCGACUGAAGGCUGCGAUGACCCGAGUGGACGCUGAACUCUAGCCUCAGGAGGAAAUUUCUCAAGACCUCGAGUCACUGAUGACUCGACUCAAUCAGAUUCCUGGUCGAGUGCAGGAGUGAAAGAAGUCAUCCGCUCGCUGUGGCACUGACAUCGCCCUGUCACUGGUUCGAGUGCACUGCAAGGACGCCAGGGAAGACAAGUUGGCGGUUAUCAAGGUUGCGAAUACUAAGAAGCACACUUUCUAGUCCUUCAUGGACACCUUCCUUGAGGCUGCCACUCGCAUUGCGGAUAGCAUUGACCUUGACAGCUUCUGCGAUCCAGCCAGCCCUUCUCCCGCCGAGUGAUUGAAAAAACAUUAUGCAUCACCCUUAUUUGCCUCGGAAUGCCGAGUGGAUUUGUAAUCAUUGAAACUCCUUCGGGCCUGACACCCAAGUACUUUUAAUUCGCUGUUAGAAACCUUUGGGUUUAUCUAAACUUGGCUUAUCUUUGAAUAUGUUGUGUUUGUCUUCGAGCGGGACUUGCUCUUCACUCAGAUUAGUGUUUGUACUCUCGAUGCAGCUUCCAAGGAAGAGGCCGCAGUCGACCUAUUGGACGAGCCUUGAGCGGUAUUGAUCAUCUUAUCAGCGAGGCAUUCGGCAAUGGUCUUGACAUUCCUGGAAGCAGUUCGCCUUGGCCCUAGCUGUUGGAUGAACAUUUUCGCGGCACUGAUUAGCUCAUCAGCGAGGCAUUCAGCAAUGGUCUUGACAUCCCUGAAAGCAGCUCACCCUGGCGUCAGUUUGCCUCGGCAGUGCGUACAAUCUCGUCCUUCUUCUUGACGGUGCAACCCCUGGGGGAGGGGUCGUGGUCGACCCGUUCCACUCGGCUGGGUUUUUCAAAUUUAGCAAGCACUAGACUGCAGCUAAGCAGUGCGCACAAUCUCGUCCUUCUUUUUGAUGGUGCAGCCCCGGGGGGAAGGGUCGUGGUCGACCCAUACCGUUCAGUAGGAUCUUUCCAACUUAGGCGAGUAUUGGACUGCAGCUAAGCCUCUGAGUGAGAGGACUGCUCGCCACUCGGUAGGAUUUUUUAUACUUAGGCGAGUACUGGACUGCAGCUAAGCCCCCGAGUGAGAGGACUGCUCGCCACUCGGUAGGAUUUUUAACACUUAGGCGAGUACUGGACUGCAACUAAGCCCCCCGAGUGAGAGGCUGGCUGGACACUCGGUAGGAUUUUUUAUACUUAGGUNNNNNNNNNNNNNNNNNNNNNNNNNNNNNNNNNNNNNNNNNNNNNNNNNNNNNNNNNNNNNNNNNNNNNNNNNNNNNNNNNNNNNNNNNNNNNNNNNNNNNNNNNNNNNNNNNNNNNNNNNNNNNNNNNNNNNNNNNNNNNNNNNNNNNNNNNNNNNNNNNNNNNNNNNNNNNNNNNNNNNNNNNNNNNNNNNNNNNNNNNNNNNNNNNNNNNNNNNNGCGUUGGCUGUUGGAUGAGCCUUUGGCAGUGGGCACAAUCUCAUCCUUCUUCUCGACGGUGCAGCCCCGGGGGGAGGGGUCGUGGUCGAGCACUCGGUAGGAUUUUUUAUACUUAGGCGAGUACUGGACUGCAGCUAAGCACCCGAGUGAGAGGAUUGCUCACCACUCGGUAGGAUUUUUUAUACUUAGGCAAGUACUGGCCUGCAGCUAAGCCCCCGAGUGAGAGGAUUGCUCACCACUCGGUAGGAUUUUUUAUACUUAGGCGAGUACUGGACUGCAGCUAAGCCCUCGAGUGAGAGGAUUGCUCACCACUUGGUAGGAUUUUUUAUACUUAGNNNNNNNNNNNNNNNNNNNNNNNNNNNNNNNNNNNNNNNNNNNNNNNNNNNNNNNNNNNNNNNNNNNNNNNNNNNNNNNNNNNNNNNNNNNNNNNNNNNNNNNNNNNNNNNNNNNNNNNNNNNNNNNNNNNNNNNNNNNNNNNNNNNNNNNNNNNNNNNNNNNNNNNNNNNNNNNNNNNNNNNNNNNNNNNNNNNNNNNNNNNNNNNNNNNNNNNNNNNNNNNNNNNNNNNNNNNNNNNNNNNNNNNNNNNNNNNNNNNNNNNNNNNNNNNNNNNNNNNNNNNNNNNNNNNNNNNNNNNNNNNNNNNNNNNNNNNNNNNNNNNNNNNNNNNNNNNNNNNNNNNNNNNNNNNNNNNNNNNNNNNNNNNNNNNNNNNNNNNNNNNNNNNNNNNNNNNNNNNNNNNNNNNNNNNNNNNNNNNNNNNNNNNNNNNNNNNNNNNNNNNNNNNNCCGAGUGAGAGGCUGGCUCACCACUCGGUACGAUUUUUUAAAACUUAGGCGAGUACUGGACUGCAGCUAAGCCCCCGAGUGAGAGGCUGGCUCACCACUCGGUAGGAUUUUUUAACACUUAGGCGAGUACUGUACUGCAACUAAGCCCCCGAGUGAGAGGCUGGCUCACCACUCGGUAGGAUUUUUUAACACUUAGGUGAGUACUGGACUGCAGCUAAGCCCCCGAGUGAGAGGCUGACUCACCACUCGGUAGGAUUUUUCUUGUCAACUUAGGCGAAACGGAUUCGCAGCUAAGGCACCCACUGGGGGAUUUUAGAACAUGUAAAAAAUGAACAACAAUCAUUUGGAAGACUGUAAAAUCAUGUCUUUGAUAAUCAAACUAAAAGGUAUUUCUUAUUACAUCUCAACAGUCUGAAUGCUUAAGAGUAAAAAGGGCAAAGCAGAUCCGCAUUCCAGGCGCGUGGCUCAUCUUUAUUGUGCUCAACGUUGAAAAGACGAUAUGCUCCGUUGUGGAGCACUUUGGUGAUUACAAAGGGGCCCUCCCAAGCAGGAGCGAGCUUGUGUGGUUUCUGCUGGUCCACUCGAAGAACCAAGUCCCCUUCCUGAAAUGCCCGACCGCUUACGUUUCUGGCAUGGAAUCGACGCAGGUCUUGUUGAUAAAUGGUCGACUGGAUCAAGGCCAUCUCUCUUUCUUCUUCCAGGAGGUCGACUGCAUCUUGCCGAGCCUGUUCUGCUUCUGCUUCCGAGAAGAGCUCGACUCGGGGUGCAUUGUGGAGCAGAUCGCUCGGGAGUACGGCUUCAACUCCAUAGACUAAGAAGAAUGGAGUUCUUCCAGUCGACCGAUUAGGAGUUGUCCUUAAUCCCCAAAGUACUGAUGGAAGUUCAUCGACCCAGGCACCUGCUGCAUGCUUGAGGUCGCGCAUCAAUUGGGGUUUCAGUCCUUUGAGAAUCAAUCCAUUUGCUCUUUCAGCCUGCCCAUUCGAAUGAGGAUGGGCGACUGAAGCGUAAUCGACCCUCGUGCCUUGGGAAGCACAAAAGGCUCUGAACUUAUCAGAAUCGAAGUUCGACCCAUUAUCCGUGAUGAUGCUGUGCGGAACAUCAUAUCUGAAUAUUAAUUCUCGGAUGAAACUCACAGCCGUACUCGCUUCAAGGUUUUUAAUGGGCUUGGCUUUGAUCCAUUUGGUAAAUUUGUUGACUGCUACCAGCACAUGGGUAAACCCACUCCUGCCGGUCCUCAGAGGUCCAACCAUGUCCAAUCCCCAGAUAGCGAAAGGCCAGACGUGUGGAAUAGUCUUCAGAGCUGAUGCGGGCUUAUGGGACAUGUUGGAGUAAAACUGAAAACCUUCACAUUUGUCUACUAUUUCCUUCGCCAUCUCGUUGGCAUGAGGUGUUGGAAAUAUGCCCUAGAGGCAAUAAUAAUAUGGUUAUUAUUGUAUUUCUUUGUUCAUGAUAAUUGUCUACUAUUCAUGCUAUAAUUGUAUUGACCGGAAACCGCAAUACAUGUGUGAAUACAUAGACCACAACAUGUCCCUAGUGAGCCUCUAGUUGACUAGCUCGUUGAUCAACAGAUGGUCAUGGUUUCCUGACCAUGGACAUUGGAUGUCAUUGAUAACGGGAUCACAUCAUUAGGAGAAUGAUGUGAUGGACAAGACCCAAUCCUAAGCCUAGCACAAGAUUAUGUAGUUCGUAUGCUAAAGAUUUUCUAAAUGUCAAGUAUCUUUUCCUUAGACCAUGAGAUUGUGCAACUCCCGGACACCGUAAGAAUGCUUUGGUUGUGCGAAACAUUACAACGUAACUGGGUGGCUAUAAAGGUGCACUACGGGUAUCUCCGAAAGUGUCUGUUGGGUUGGUACGAAUCGAGACUGGGAUUUUUCACUACGUGUGACGGAGAGGUAUCUCUGGACCCACUCGGUAGGACAUCAUCAUAAUGUGCACAAUGUGAUCAAGGAGUUGAUCUCGGGAUGAUGUGUUAUGGAACGAGUAAAGAGACUUGCCGGUAACGAGAUUGAACAAGGUAUCGGGAUACCGAUGAUCGAAUCUCGGGCAAGUACUAUACCGGUAGACAAAGGGAAUUGUAUACGGGAUUGAUUGAAUCCUUGACAUCAUGGUUCAUCCGAUGAGAUCAUCGUGGAACAUGUGGGAGCCAAGAUGGGUAUCCAGAUCCCGCUGUUGGUUAUAGACCGGAGAGUUGUCUCGGUCAUGUCUGCAUGGUUCCCUAACCCGUAGGGUCUACACACUUAAGGUUUGAUGAUGCUAGGGUUAUAGGGAAUAGAUAUACGUGGUUACCGUAUGUUGUCCGGAGUCCCGGAUGAGAUCCCGGACAUCACGAGGAGUUCCGGAAUGGUCCGGAGGUAAAGAUUUAUAUAUGGGAAGUCCUGUUUUGGUCACCGGAAAGGUUUCGGGUGCUAUCGGUAACGUACCGGGACCACCGGGAGGGUCCCAGGGGUCCACCAGGUGGGGCCACCGGCCCCAGAGGGCUGCGUAGGCCAAGUGUGGGAGGGUACCAGCCCCAGGUGGGCUAGUGCGCCCCCCACCAAGGCCCAAGGCGCAGGGAGAGUGGGAGGGUGCAAAACCCUAGGUCCAUAUGGGCCUUAAGCCCCACCCUAGGGCGCCCCCUCUCUUCCCCCCCCUUGGCCGCACCCUAGAUGGGUUUUGGGUGCUGCCGCCAACCCUAGGGAGGGAACCCUAUAUGGGGGCGCAUCCCCUCCCCUUCCCAUAUAUAUACUUGAGGUAUUGGGGCUGCAAAACACAUGAGAUGAACUCUCCCAAGGCGCAACCCUACCUCUCUCCCUCCUCGUCUCUUGCGGUGCUUGGCGAAGCCCUGCUGGAGUGCCACGCUCCUCCAUCACCACCACGCCGUUGUGCUGUUGCUGGAUGAAGUCUUCUCCAACCUCUCCCUCUCUCCUUACUGGAUCAAGGCAUGGGAGACGUCACCGGGCUGCACGUGUGUUGAACACGGAGGUGCCGUCCGUUCGGCACUAGGAUCUUCGGUGAUUUGGAUCACAACGAGUACGACUCCCUCAACCUCUUGAACGCUUCCGCUCGCGAUCUACAAGGGUAUGUAGAUGCACUCCUCUCUCUCGUUGCUAGUCUCUCCAUAGAUAGAUCUUGGUGACUCGUAGGAAAAUUUUGAAUUUCUGCUACGUUCACCAAUAGUGGCAUCAUGAGCUAGGUCUAUUGCAUAGAUUCUAUGCACGAGUAGAACACAAGUUGUUGUGGGCGUUGAUUUUGUUCAAUAUGCUUACCGUUACUAGUCCUAUCUUGUUUCGACGGUAUUGUGGGAUGAAGCGGCCCGGACCGACCUUACACGUACACUUACGUGAGACAGGUUCCACCGGCUGACAUGCACUUGUUGCAUAAGGUGGCUAGUGGAUGCCAGUCUCUCCCACUUUAGUCGGAUCGGAUUCGAUGAAAAGGGUCCUUAUGAAGGGUAAAUAGCAAUUGGCAUAUCACGCUGUGGCUUUUGCGUAGGUAAGAAACGUUCUUGCUAGAAACCCAUAGCAGCCACGUAAAACAUGGAAACAACAAUUAGAGGACGUCUAACUUGUUUUUGCAGGGUAUGCUAUGUGAUGUGAUAUGACCAAAAGAAUGUGAUGAAUGAUAUGUGAUGUGAUAUGGCCAAAAGAAUGUGAUGAAUGAUAUGUGAUGUGAUAUGGCCAAAAGAAUGUGAUGAAUGAUAUGUGAUGUAUGAGAUUGAUCAUGUUCUUGUAAUAGGAAUCACGACUUGCAUAUCGAUGAGUAUGACAACCGGCAGGAGCCAUAGGAGUUGUCUUUAUUUAUUGUAUGACCUGCGUGUCACGGAAUAACGCCAUGUAAUUACUUUACUUCAUUGCUAAACCGUUAGCCAUAGUAGUAGAAGUAAUAGUUGGCAAGACAACUUCAUGGAGACACGAUGAUGGAGAUCAUGGUGUCAUACCAGUGACGAUGAUUAUCAUGGAGCCCCGAAGAUGGAGAUCAGAAGGAGUAAAAUGAUAUUGGCCGUAUCAUAUCACUUUUUGAUUGCAUGUGAUGUUUAUCAUGUUUAUGCAUCUUAUUUGCUUAGAAUGACGGUAGUAAAUAAGAUGAUCCCUCAUAAUAAUUUCAAGAAAGUGUUCCCCCUAACUGUGCACCGUUGCGAAAGUUUGUUGUUUUGAAGCACCACGUGAUGAUCGGGUGUGAUAGAUUCUAACAUUCACAUACAACGGGUGUAAGCCAGAUUUACACACGCGAAACACUUAGGUUGACUUGACGAGCCUAGCAUGUACAGACAUGGCCUCGGAACACAAGAGACCGAAAGGUCGAACAUGAGUCGUAUAGUGGAUACGAUCAACAUGAAGAUGUUCACCGAUGAUGACUAGUCCGUCUCACGUGAUGAUUGGACACGACCUAGUUGACUCGGAUCAUGUAUCACUUAGAUGACUAGAGGGAUGUCUAUCUGAGUGGGAGUUGAUUAGAUGAACUUAAUUAUCCUGAACAUAGUCAAAAGGUCUUUGCAACUUAUGUCGUAGCUCGCGUUUUAGUUCUACUGUUUUAGAUAUGUUCCUAGAGAAAAUUUAGUUGAAAGUUAAUAGUAGCAAUUAUGCAGACUGGGUCCGUAAACUGAUGACUGUCCUCAUUGCUGCGCAGAAGGCUUAUGUCCUUAAUGCACCGCUCGGUGUGCUGAACCUUGAGCGUCGUCUGUGGAUGUUGCAAACAUCUGACAUACACGUUUUGAUGACUACGUGAUAGUUCAGUAAUGUUAAACGGUUUAGAAUUGAGGCACCGAAGACGUUUUUGAAACGUCGCGGAACAUAUGAGAUGUUCCGAGGGCUGAAAUUGGGAUUUUAGGCUCGUGCCCACGUCAAGAGGUAUAAGACCUACGACGAGUUUCUUAGCCUACAAACUAAGGGAGAAAAGCUCAAUCGUUGAGCUUGUACUCAGAUUGUCUGGGUACAACAAUCGCUUGAAUCAAGUGGGAGUUAAUCUUCCAGAUGAGAUAGUGAUGUUUCUCCAAAGACAUUGCCACCAAGCUACUAGAGCUUCAUGAUGAACUAUAACAUAUCAGGGAUAGAUAUGAUGAUCCUUGAAAUAUUCGCGAUGUUUGACACCGCGAAAGUAGAAAUCAAGAAGGAGCAUCAAUUGUUGAUGGUUAGUGAAACCACUAGUUUCAAGAAGGGCAAGGGCAAGAAGGGGUACUUCAUGAAACGACAAAUCAGUUGCUGCUCCAGUGAAGAAACCCAGGGUUGAACCCAAACCCGAGACUAAGUGCUUCUGUAACGAGGGAACAGUCACUGAAGCAGAACUACCCUAGAUACUUGGUAGAUGAGAAGGCUGGCAAGAUUGACAGAAGUAUAUUGGAUAUACAUUGUAUUAAAUGUGUACUUUACUAGUACUCCUAGUAGCACCAGGGUAAUAAGAUACCGGUUCGGUUGCUAAGUGUUAGUAACUCGAAAUAAAAGAGCUAUGGAAUAAAUGGAGACUAGCUAAAGGUGAGAUAACGAUGUGUGUUGGAAGUGUUUCCAAAGGUUGAUGUGAUCAAGCAUCGCCUGCUCCCUCUACCAUCGAGAUUGGUGUUAAACCUAAAUAAUUGUUAUUUGGUGUUUGUGUUGAGCAUAGACAUGAUUGGAUUAUGUCUAUCGCAAUACGGUUUUUCAUUUAAGAAGAAUAAUGGUUACUCUGUUUAUUUGAAUAAUACCUUCAAUGGUCUUGCACCUAAAAUGAAUGGUUUAUUGAAUCUUGAUCAUAGUGAUACACAUGUUCAUGCCAAAAGAUAUAAGAUAGUAAUGAUAGUACCACCUGCUUGUGGCACUGCCAUGUAAGUCAUAUUGGUAUAAAACGCAUGAAGAAGCUCCAUGUUGAUGGAUCUUUGGACUCACUCGUUUUUUGAAAAGUUUGAGACAUGCGAACCAUGUCUAUUGGUAUGUACGCAUGGAGAAACUCCAUGCAGAUGGAUCGUUUGGACUCACUUGAUUUUGAAUCACUUGAGACAUGCAAAUCAUACCACAUGGGCAAGAUGACUGAAAAGCCUCGUUUUCAGUAAGAUGGAACAAGAAAGCAACUUGUUGGAGGUAAUACAUUUUGAUGUGUGCAGUCCAAUGAGUGUUGAGGCACGCAGUGGAUAUCAUUAUGUUCUUACUUCAUAGAUGAUUUGAGUAGAUGCUGUAUAUUUACUUGAUGAAACAUAAGUCUGAAUUAUUGAAAGGUUCAAGUAAUUUCAGAGUGAGGUUGAAGAUCUUCGUGACAAGAGGAUAAAAUGUCUAUGAUAUGAUCAUAGAGAUGAAUAUCUGAGUUGCGAGUUUGGUACACAAUUAAGACAUUGUGGAAAUUGUUUCACAACUAACACCGCCUAGAACACCAUAGUGUGUUGGUGUGUCCGAACAUCAUAGCUGCACCUUAUUGGAUAUGGUGCAUACCAUGAUGUCUCUUAUCGAAUUACCACUAUCAUUCAUGGGUUAGGCAUUAGAGACAACCGCAUUCACUUUAAAUAGGGAACCACGUAAUUCCGUUGAGAUGACACCAUAUGAACUAUGGUUUAGAGAAACCUAAGCUGUCGUUUCUUGAAAGUUUGGGGCUGCGACGCUUAUGUGAAAAAGUUUCAUCGUGAUAAGCUCGAACCCAAAACGGAUAAAUGCAUCUUCAUAGGAUACCCAAAAUGGUUGGGUAUACCUCCUAUCUCAGAUCCGGAAGCAAAAGUAAUUGUUUCUAGAAACGGGUCCUUUCUCGAGGAAAAGUUUCUCUCGAAAGAAUUGAGUGGGAGGAUGGUGGAGACUUGAUGAGGUUAUUGAACCAUCACUUCAACCAGUGUGUAGCAGGGCACAAGAAGUUGUUCCUGUGGCACCUACACCAAUUGAAGUGGAAGUUAAUGAUAGUGAUCAUGAAACUUCGGAUCAAGUCACUACCGAACCUCGUAGGGUGACAAGGAUGCGUACUACUUCAGAAUGGUACAGUAAUCAUGUCUUGAAGGUCAUGUUGCUAGACAACAAUGAACCUACGAGCUAUGGAGAAGCGAUGGUGGGCCCGGAUUCCGACAAAUGGCUAGAGGCCAUAAAAUCCGAGAGAGGAUCCAUGUAUGAAAAUAAAGUGUGGACUUUGGAAGAACUACUUGAUGGUCGUAAGGCUAUUGGGUACAGAUGGAUUUUAAAAGAAAGACGGACAAUGAUGGUAAGUAUCACCAUUAAGAAAGCUCGACUUGUCGUUAAGAUGUUUUUCGACAAGUUCAAGGAGUUGACUGCGAUGAGACUUUCUCAUUCGUAGAGAUGCUAAGAGUCUGUUGGAAUUAUAUUAGCAAUUACUGCAUGAUUUAUGAAAUCUUGCAAAUAGGAUGUCAAAACAUUGUUUCCUCAACGAUAUUCUUGAGGAAAGGUUGUAUGUGGUACAACCAGAAAGUUUUGUCAAUCCUGAAAGAUGCUAACAAGUGUGCAAAGCUCCAGCAAUCCUUCUAGGGACUGGAGUAAGCAUCUCGGAGUUGGAAUAUACGCUUUGAUGAGAUGAUCAAAGAUUUUGGGUUUAUACAAAGUUUAUGAGAAACUUGUAUUUCCAAAGAAGUGAGUGGGAGCACUAUAGAAUUUCUGAUGAGUAUAUGUUGUUGACAUAUUGUUGAUCGAAAAUGAUGUAGAAUUUCUAGAAAGCAUAUAGGGUUAUUUGAAAAGUGUUUUUCAAUGGAAAACCUGGAUUAAGCUACUUAAACAUUGAGCAUCAAGAUCUAUAAGGAUAGAUCAAAACGCUUAAUAGUACUUUCAAAUGAAUACAUACCGUGACAAGAUUUUGAAGGAGUUCAAAAUAGAUCAGCAAAGAAGGAGUUCUUGGCUGUGUUAUAUGGUGUGAGUAUUGAGUAAGACUCAAUACAUGACCACGGCAGAAGAGAGAGAAAGGACGAAGGUCGUCCCCUAUGCGUCAGACGUAGGCUCUAUAGUAUGCUAUGUUGUGUACCGCACCGGAAGUGUGCCAUGCCAUGAGUUAGUCAAGGGGUACAAGAGUGAUCCAGGAAUGAAUCACAGGACAACGGUCAAACUUAUCCUUAGUAACUAGUGGACUAAGGAAUUUUCUCGAUUAUGGAGGUGGUAAAAGAGUUCGUCGUAAAGGGUUACGCCGAUGCAAACUUUGACACUAAUCCGGAUUACUCUGAGUAGUAAACCGGAUUCGUAUAGUAGAACAGAUAUUUGGAAUAGUUCCAAAUAGAGCGUGGUAGCUGCAUCUAGGAGAUGACAUAGAGAUUUGCAAAACACACACGGAUCUGAAAGGUUCAGAUCCGUUGACUAAUAACCUCUCUCACAAGCGAGAUAUGAUCAAAACCCAUGGGUGUCGAUCCAUUACAAUCACAUAGUGAUGUGAACUAGAUUAUUGACUCUAGUGCAAGUGGGAGACUGUUGGAAAUAUGCCAUAGAGGCAAUAAUAAAAUGGUUAUUAUUGUAUUUCCUUGUUCAUGAUAAUUGUCUAUUAUUCAUGCUAUAAUUGUAUUGACCGGAAACCGCAAUACAUGUGUGAAUACAUAGACCACAACAUGUCCCUAGUGAGCCUCUAGUUGACUAGCUCGUUGAUCAACAGAUGGUCAUGGUUUCCUGACCAUGGACAUUGGAUGUCAUUGAUAAUGGGAUCACAUCAUUAGGAGAAUGAUGUGAUGGACAAGACCCAAUCCUAAGCCUAGCACAAGAUCAUGUAGUUCGUAUGCUAAAGCUUUUCUAAAUGUCAAGUAUCUUUUCCUUAGACCAUGAGAUUGUGCAACUCCCGGACACCGUAGGAAUGCUUUGGGUGUGCCAAACGUUACAACGUAACUGGGUGGCUAUAAAGGUGCACUACGGGUAUCUCCAAAAGUGUCUGUUGGGUUGGUACGAAUCGAGACUGGGAUUUGUCACUCCGUGUGACGGAGAGGUAUCUCUGGACCCACUCGGUAGGACAUCAUCAUAAUGUGCACAAUGUGAUCAAGGAGUUGAUCUCGGGAUGAUGUGUUAUGGAAUGAGUAAAGAGACUUGCCGGUAACGAGAUUGAACAAGGUAUCGGGAUACCGAAGAUCGAAUCUCGGGCAAGUACUAUACCGGUAGACAAAGGGAAUUGUAUACGGGAUUGAUUGAAUCCUUGACAUCGUGGUUCAUCCGAUGAGAUCAUCAUGGAAUAUGUGGGAUCCAACAUGGGUAUCCAAAUCCCGCUGUUGGUUAUUGACCGGAGAGUUGUCUCGGUCAUGUCUGCAUGGUUCCCGAACCCGUAGGGUCUACACACUUAAGGUUCGAUGACGCUAGGGUUAUAGGGAAUAGAUAUACAUGGUUACCGAAUGUUGUUUGGAGUCCCGGAUGAGAUCCCGGACAUCACGGGGAGUUCCGGAAUGGUCCGGAGGUAAAGAUUUAUAUAUAGGAAGUCCUGUUUUGGUCACCGGAAAGGUUUCGGGUGCUAUCGGUAACGUACCGGGACCACCGGGAGGGUCCCGGGGGUCCACCAGGUGGGGCCACUGGCCCCAGAGGGCUGCGUAGGCCAAGUGUGGGAGGGAACCAGCCCCAGGUGGGCUGGUGCGCCCCCCACCAAGGCCCAAGGCGCAGGGAGAGUGGGAGGGGGCAAAACCCUAGGUCCAGAUGGGCCUUAAGGCCCACCCUAGGGCGCCCCCUCUCUUCCCCCCCUUGGCCACACCCUAGAUGGGUUUUGGGGGCUGCCGCCAUCCCUAGGGAGGGAACCCUAGAUGGGGGCGCAUCCCGUCCCCUUCCCCUAUAUAUACUUGAGGUAUUGGGGCUGCAAAACACAUGAGAUGAACUCUCCCCAGGCGCAGCCCUACCUCUCUCCCUCCUCGUCUCUUGCAGUGCUUGGCGAAGCCCUGCUGGAGUGCCACGCUCCUCCAUCACCACCACGCCGUUGUGCUGCUGCUGGACGAAGUCUUCCCCAACCUCUCCCUCUCUCCUUGCUGGAUCAAGGCACGGGAGACGUCACCGUGCUGCACGUGUGUUGAACGCGGAGGUGACGUCCGUUCGGCACUGGGGAUCUUCGGUGAUUUCGAUCACGACGAGUACGACUCCCUCAACCCGGUUCUCUUGAAAGCUUCCGCUCGCGAUCUACAAGGGUAUGUAUAUGCACUCCUCUCUCUCGUUGCUAGUCUCUCCAUAGAUAGAUCUUGGUGACUCGUAGGAAAAUUUUGAAUUUCUGCUACGUUCGCCAACAUGAGGCCAGUAAAAUCCGGCUCGGUAUGCUUUGGCCACGAUGGUCCGAGAGGACUCAUGGUGACCACAGGUCCCUGAGUGAAUAUCGUUGAGGAUCAUUUGGCCUUCUUCUGGUGUGAUGCAUUUCUGGCUGACUCCAGUUACACUUUAUCUGAACAACUGUCCUCUUAAUACCGUAAAGGCUUUGGAUCGUCGAAGGAUCUGCCGAGCCUCUUCUUCAUCCUCUGGAAGUACUUUCCUCAGAAUGUAUGCAAUGGAUGGUACUGUCCAGUCGGGAGUGAUGACCAGAACCUCCAUGAUCAAGUUGACCACGGCUGGGACUUCGACUUCAGUCAGAUCUGUGGCACUCUUAGGCUUUGGGGGCUCUUCAGUGAAAGGAUCCUCCUGAACUGAAGGCGAGUGAAUAUGUUCCAAAAACACGUUGCUAGGGAUGGUCUCCAUCUUGGAUCCUAUCUUUUCCAAUUCAUCUGCAACUUGAUUUUUCAGUCGGGGUAUAUGGUGAAACUCCAACCCCUCAAACUUCUUUUCCAGCUUUCUUACUGCACUGCAAUAACCAGUCAUGGCUGGACUCGUGACAUUCCAUUCUUUCGUCACUUGAUUAACCACCAAAUCUGAGUCACCGUAGACCAUAAGGCGUCGGACGCCGAGUGAAAUGGCCAUACGUAACCUGUACAAAAGUGCUUCAUAUUCAGCUUCAUUGUUGGAAGAGUCAAAAUGAAUUUGAAGAACAUAGUUAAGCUUGUCCCCACAGGGGGAUACCAACACUAUCCCAACACCGGAACCAUUCACCAUCUUGGAGCCAUCGAAGAACAUGUUCCAAUGUUCCGAGUGAACUUGAGUCGGCAGUUGCUGUUCAAUCCACUCGGCAAGGAAAUCUACGAUUGCUUGGGACUUGAUAGCUUUCUUUGCCUCAAACUUGAUAUCCAAUGGAAGGAGUUCAAUCGCCCAUUUUGCCACUCGACCAGUUGCAUCUCUAUUGUUCAGAAUUUCAGAUAAUGGUGCGUUGCUGACGACUAUAACGGAGUGAUCAGAGAAAUAGUGUGCAACCUUCUUCGUGGUCAUGUAGAUUCCAUAGACAAGCUUCUGAUAAUGUGGAUAUCAUUGCUUGGAUGGAGUCAAAACUUUAGAGAGAUAAUAUACUGGUCGUUGAACUUUGUAAGCCUAUCCUUCCCCUUCCCGCUCGACCGUGAGUACUGUACUGACAACUUGUCUAGUGGCUGCAAUCUAAAGCAGUAAAGGCUCUUUGCUGAUUGGCGCAACAAGCACCGGCUGGGUGGAAAGCAGGGUUUUGAGCUCUGCAAACGCUGCGUCAGCUUCCUCCGUCCACUCGAACUUAUCCGAUUUCUUCAUCAAUCGGUAAAGAGGUAAGGCCUUUUCCCCGAGAUGAGAAAUGAAUCGACUCAAGGCGGCCAAACAACCAGCAAGCUUCUGAAUGUCAUGCACACGCACAGGGCGUUUCAUUCGGAGGAUGGUAUCAAGUUUUACUGGAUUUGCGUCGAUCCCUCGUUCGGAAAUGAGGAAACCGAGUAACUUUCCACCUGGAACUCCGAAUGUGCACUUUGACAGAUUGAUCUUGAUAUCAUACCUUCUUAGGUUGGCAAAGGUUUCUGCGAGGUCAGUCAGUAGGUCGGAAUCUUUACGGGACUUGACCACAAUGUCAUCCAUGUAUGCUUCCACAUUCCGACUGAUUUGAGUAAGUAAGCACUUCUGAAUCAUCCUCAUGAAUGUGGCUCCGGCAUUUUUAAGACCAAAUGGCAUGGUGACAUAGCAAAAGCACCAAAAUGGGGUGAUGAAAGCCGUUUUUAUUUCAUCGGGACCGUACAGUCGGAUCUGAUGAUACCCGAAAUAUGCAUCUAAAAAAGACAAGCGCUCGCACCCCACAGUCGAGUCAACAAUUUGAUCGAUGCGGGGGAGAGGGAAAUGAUCUUUCGGGUAGGCCCGAUUGAUAUGCUUGAAAUUGAUGCACAUACGGAGUGAAUCGUCCUUCUUAGGGACCAUGACCACAUUGGCAAGCCACUCGGAGUGGUAGAUCUCUCGGAUGAACUCUGCUGCUAGGAGCCGAGCCAUUUCCUCGCCAAUUGCCUUUCUCUUCUGCACGGCGGACCGCCAAAGAUGCUCUUUGACGGGUUUUAUCUUGGGGUCAACGCGCAAACGGUGCUCAGCCAGUCCCCUGGGUACACCCGGCAUGUCAAAAGGUUUCCAUGCAAAGAUGUCCCAGUUCUCACGGAGGAAUUGGAUGAGCGCUUCUUCCUAUUUGCUGUCGAGUGUUGUUGAGAUAUGAGUCGGUGCAGCAUUGGGAUCGGUCGGGUGAAUAUGAAUCUAUUUCGUUUCUUCGGGCGACUGAAAUGCAGAAUCUAUGGCAGGUCUCUUAGUUCGGAGUAAAUCACUCGGAUCUGCAUUCUUCUGGUAUUCUUGAAAUUCAACUGCUGUCAUUUGCGCAUCGACAAUUUUGGAACCCUUCUGGAAGCAUUCCUUCGCCUUUUGCCGAUUGCCAGUAACUGUGGUCACACCUCUGGGACUAGGCAUCUUCAACUUGAGGUACACAUAACAUGGUCGAGCCAUAAAACAUGCGUAGGCAGGCCUACCCAGAAUGGCAUGAUAAGCACUUUGGAAAUCCACAACUUCAAAUGUCAACUUUUCUUUACGGUAAUUCUUGGAAUCACCGAAAACCACGUCAAGGAUGAUCUGGCCGAGUGAUUCGGCUUUCUUUCCAGGGAUAACACCAUGGAAACUCAUAUUGCUCUCGCUAAGCUUGGACAUCAGAAUGCCCAUCCCCUUCAAGGUUUAAGCAUAAAGGAUAUUCAGGCCGCUACCACCAUCCAUCAGCACUUUGGUCAGUCGGGUGCCUUCGACCACUGGGUCGACCACCAACGCUUGCCUCCCAAGGGUGGCUAUACGCGCAGGGUGAUCAGACUGGUCGAACGUGAUGGCUGUUUGAGACCAUUUCAGGUAUGUAGUCGUCAUUGCCGGGGCGACCAUAUUCACUUCUCUGUUGAUAACUUUCAAUCGACUCUUGCUCUCAACAUCAGCAAAAAUCAUCAGGGUGGAAUUGACUUUGGGAUAACCAUCGUCUUCUUCCUCAUCUUCGUCUCUAUCUGACUCUUUUCCCUAUUCAUUGGGUUGAUUAUCUUGGAACUGCUGGAUCAGGAGUCGACACUGUCGAGUGGUGUGUUUAGGAUAAAUCAGAUUACCCUCUUCAUCCUUCUUCGUGUUAAUGUGACACGGCAAAUCCAACACAUCAUUUCCUGGUCCUUUACCUUCUUAGGGUUCCAGGGUCCCUUAGGUUUUCCUUUAAACUUUCCUUGAGCCACUGCCGCAAUUUCGCCGGGUGCUGCGGGCUCGGCCUUUCGUUUUUGUCUCCGAUUGGAAUUGAUUCCGCUAGUGUCCUGGCUGACUGGUUUGCCCUUUCCGCCGCGGAGUCGAUCUUCUUCUUCUCCGUUCGCGUACCGGGUGUCUAUCUCCAUCAUCCGAGUCAGAGUCAUAUCCCCAGUCCAACCAAACUUCAGGACCAAUUCUCGGUAUUUAACGCCUUCUUUGAAGGCACACACAACUUGAUGUUCAGAUACAUUCUCCACCGUGUGAUGCAAAGUGGUCCACCUCUGAAUGAAAUCUCUCAGAGUCUCACUCAGUUUCUGCACGCAAUGCUGCAAUUCCGUCAAUCCUGCUGGCCGCUUGCAAGUGCCCUCAAAAGUUCUGACGAACACUCGAGCAAGUUCUUCCCAACUGUAUAUACUAUUCGGGGCUAAUUGAGUCAACCACGCUCUGGCUGAUCCUUCCAACAUCAGAGGGAGAUGCUUCAUCGCCACUUCAUCAUUCCCGCCACCAAUCUGCACAGCCACUCGAUAGUCUUCAAGCCAAGUUUCUGGCUUGGACUCUCCAGUGAACUUGCUGACUCCAGUUGCGAACCUGAAGUUGGGGGGAAUUACUGCGGCCCUGAUGGCUCUGCUGAAACACUCAACCCUGUUACCAGUCGGGCGAUCUCUUCCAAGGUCUUCCCUCUGCGCUCUGUUCCGGUUGACCAAACCCUGAACGAGAAUAGAUCUUGCAUCAAAGCCUGGCUCCCUUGUGUCGACUGGUGCUCUACGUUCACCGCUGUGAAGGCGUCUGUCAUCGUAAUGCCGAGGCACAUAUGAUGUGCUCCUCGGAGGAGGUGUGGGCAUCCGACGACGAUUGUCGCGGUCGAGUCGGUGAUCAUACUGUCCACGGUCCUCAGCCGCAGGGGCGAUCUUGGACUAUGGGCCGACUGGACAGUAUCUGCCACCACGAAUCUGCUAUGAAUCCUAUCCCGUGACUGAGACACCACUGUGUUCAGCUCUCCUGCUGCCUGGAGUAAAGCUCGGAUCUUCAUCAAGCCUCGGUCAGCCUCUAACUGGGAAGGUUGAAUUGACUCUACUAUUCGGGUUGCAGCUGUGAGAUUUUGAAUUGAAGUGCGGUAUACCUUAGGUGGAGGUGGAAAAAGCUGUCGUCGACUGGACUUGUGAAUCCGUUCUCGAGCAUGCUCGUCGAGAGCGCGCUGGAGGUUUUCCAGUCGAGUGUGCUCAGCCAAAUUAGCCAAACGCACCGUUUCCAAGGCCCGAGCCUCGGGGGUUUCUCCAACGAUGGGCGUGUGGAGUGCAUCCAUGUUGCGGCGAUGAAGUUCUUCCCUCUGCUGUGAAGAGAGGGGUUUAGGAUGGUACUCCUCGUGGACGCGCGACGGAUCGCCGCCCCCGUCCUCGCCGUCUUCAUGGUGGAAACCAGGUGGACUAUGUGGUCCGUCGACCAUCAAGACUUCAGCCGCAGGAUCGCUGCUAUCGCACUCGGAUGCGGUUUCGACGGAGCUAGUCGACGGAUCGAACAGGCCGUAGAGAGUUUCGUCGGGCUCGAUUGCCGCAACUUGAUGGGUGGCCGAAUGUCGAGCCACUGCGUGUUUUACCCACUGCUGAAGCCGCGACCGACCGGAUCGUUUGCGGCGGCGAACAUCGGAGGGAGACGACAUCAUUGGAGCCGACCGAUACUGAGUCGACGGCUGCCGGAGAAGGACGCCGCGAACGCACGCGCGAAAGUGCGUCGCCCCUCGGACGGGGAGCGCCUCGACGUCAAGGGGAGCUUCUUGAAUCCAAGCGGAGUCGUCGACGAUGAAAAUGAGUGCGCCGAGACGGAUCUCGCGCCCCUUAGCCAGAUCACCACCGGAAACCAUGAUGAUGGGGAUCGGAAAAGUUGCAACUUCACCAACAAGUUGCUAAGACACCUGCCUCACGGUGGGCGCCAACUGUCGUGGUUCUAAGGCUGACAGUAGAAAGGGGGGGGGGUAGGUAUGGAGAGGCAAGAUCUCAACUAUGGUGAAGGUGUACACACGAGAUUUACGAGUUCAGGCCCUUCUCGGAGGAAGUAAUAGCCCUACGUCUCGGUGCCCGGAGGCGGUCGACUGGAUUAUAUGUGUGUGGUAUUACAGGGGGUGCGAACCCUUGUCCCAGAGGAGGGGGUGGCUUAUACAGAGUGUGCUGGGACUCUAGUCAUCCUCCAUUACAAGGGGCUUAAUGUACAUAAAAUAGGGGCGUUGCUGAUAACGCCGGUCUUAAGUGCUAUUAAUGACCUUAAAGACUACGGAGUGAACACCCGACCGUUGCAAUGCUGAGUGACUCCUGAUCUUCGGUAGGUCGAGUGGUUCCUUGUAUGGUCGAGUGACAACAAGUAGGAGGGGUAUCCGAGUGAUAUGAUUGGUCGAGCGGAUUGCACUCGACUUUUUUGACUGGGGGUCCUUCGUUGCCUCUUGAACUUCUUACCUUCUAGGGUAGUGACCUUGGGUAUAACGUAUAGGUCAGGCCUAUGACCCUAUCCCAGGUCUGUAUCCUCAUCAACUAGCACCCUUGGUUUUCAACCGAAUGGUCUUGGGUUCGAGUCCCAGGAACUCUCAAUUUUGUCCUCCUUCCUUCCUCGCAAAAAAAAGAAAGAAAAUCAAAGACUUGAGAAGGCGUACAGAACAAGAUAGUGUACCAGUAAAGAGACGUUGCUGAGUUUUAGAAAAAAGAGAGAUGUGCUCCUGUAGCUGGUUCGAAUCCAAACCUAGACUAUGACUAUAUAUGGUGUUAUGCUACUCUGCAAGUAUUGAAACUGACAUAUCCAAUGUUCGCUUCUCCUCUUCUCUACUUACUCUGCCUAGCAUCAGAAGCUUUGGCCGUAGCAACCAUGUCCGCUGGCUGCUCAUCCACUUGCUCUUCAGCAGGCAACAACCAGAUAUGCGCCAAGUCACCACCCGUAUCAUCGUCUGUGGGUCUCAUCAUAUCCCCGCCGCACACGCACCGCAGCCGGUUGCUCAUCGCAAUUCGCUGUCGUUGGUGUGGUGCCACUGCUGCAAAUCACGCAGAGUCAUCCGUCACAUCUCAACCAGGAGGCUCUGGCUCAGUGCGCGCGUACAUGAUGAUGAAGUAGCUGCUGGACUUCUUCGGUGAGAAAAGGAACACACAGAGACGGGUGCACGUGGUGUGACAUACCCGUCGGAGGAAGGCGUCAUAGCGACGUCGCUGAUGAGCACCAGGGUAGAUAGUUCUGCCAAAGAAAACGGGUGCACGGGAGAGGCUAGUUAGUGCGACACCUUCAGCAUAUGAAAACGGGUGGACCUCGUCUACAAGAGAUGGCCCUGGCUCCAUGGCCGCAGACGAGCACUAGCCCGGGCGCAAAAAUAAAAUAAAAAAUAUUCAUGAUAUUAGGGUCGUGAUAUUGCAACAACACGCGCCAUGAAUGGUUGCAAUAUCAUGACCAUUGCCAGUACUCUACUAUAUGGCCCGCUCCCGGUAACGACAACUGAGUACCGACAUGGUUGUUGCAGUGCAGCCAUGACCACAGUUUGCACUACUCACAGAUAACGCUAUUGCAGUGCAGCCAUGGCCAUGAGAACGCAGCUCCUUCGCUUGCUACCUCUGCUGCUCCUGCUCCUUCCUUCUCCCCUCCGCGAUUACCUGUCGGCCGAUGAAGCCGCCAGCGGCAGAUUCGGCCAGGGCCAACUCCAAGUCUACUACCCCAUAAUCUUGUUCCUUGGCAUAAGUUGCCCCAACCUAGAGGCCAGGGCCGGGGAAGGGAUGGUUCCCUCUCUGGAACAACACCCGGGAUGUGCUCGACCAUGAUUACCUUCCGUGCUUACAGAAGCAGAUGAGCCUCAUGUACCACCCAGUCCUCAACGACUUCUGGAACCGGCCCGGCGUCGGGACGCGCGUGCCUGACUUCGGCUCGUCCUACGGUUUCACCUCAAAGGACGAAGUGUAAGUUCAUAUACAUUGCACUUGGUAUUUUCUUUGGAAAGGAGAGGUUCAUUUAGUAAUGAUUUGUUAAUACUGUACUAUAAGAAUUCUUGAUCUUGAAAUUUGCCUUCUUAAUUUAGGGGCGGCCGUAAUAUUUAUUGCAUGUCAAAACUUCGCCAAGAACUGGAGGCACUAGGUUAUCGCGAUAGAGAUACUCUUUUCGGUGCUCCAUACGACUUACGCCAUGCUCCACCUUCACCCGGCUAGCCAUCUCGGGUGUACACCGACUACUUUGCUCGUGUCAAGAAUCUGGUGCAGCAUGCGAGCGAGAAGAAUGGGAACAAGCCUGUCAUCCUCGUCGGGCACAACUUUGGAGGCAAGGCAGGCCUCGACUUCGUCAAUUCGACUCCCCUUCCAUGGAGGAAAAGAUUCAUCAAACACAUGGUCCUAAUCGCGCCCACACCUCCUACUGGUUUUGUUCAGGUGCUCACGGACUUUGCCUCUGGGCCGUCAGUCAUUCUUAUACCGACCGCACCGUGGCUGGGUUUGCGUCCAAUGUGGAGAACUUUCGCGUGUUCUCUUAUAUCCUUCCCAUCUACCAGAGUUUUUGGUCACGAACCACUUGUAGUCACCAAACAAAUGAACUACUCGGCGUAUGACUACAGGGAUUUUCUCAUGGCUCUUGGUUUCAACACCGACAUCAUAAAAUGGAUACUUCGGAUGAAUCUAAAGGUUAAUGCUCCGAUGGUGCCAACGACAUACCUAAAUGGAGUCGGUUUCCAAACGAUAGAUCAGGCUGUAUACUGGGACAAUAACUUUGAUGUAGAGCCAGAGUAUGUAUAUGGCGAUGGUGACGAUGUCGUCAACUUAGUUAGCUUGUUGGCAUUUGUGGAAGAAAUGAGAAGGCAGCAGCAGCGGAAUAGCAUACACUUCAAGUUCAUCAAGAUUGCUCAUACUAACCACUCUCAUAUUCUAAUUCAGGAACGUUCACUCAAGAGAGUUAUGGCUGAAAUUCUAGAAGCUAAUUGCAGAAGAGACAUCAUGUAACAGUUUUGUUUUUCCAUUCAUGAAAAAAUAUGCUGUAUUCUCGUUGGAGAAGCUGGCAUUGUUGUGGAAUAAAACUAUUAUGUAAGGAUAUUCUAUAAAUUGAAUAAGAACCAAGGCCUUGGUUACUAUACAAACACCCCUCGUCGUACAUUGUUAGGACAAAGACCAUCUGUAGUUCACACACACACACACACACGCGCGCGCGCGCGCGCGCACACACACACACACAAAGAGGUAGACCAAAAACGCUUACCGGCCGCGUGCAAAAUAGCCCACCGGCCGUGUUCUGGGUGAACGCCGCCUGCGGUGCAACUAGCAGUGUGUGUGCUCCACACGCGACUACUGUGCUAUUAAGUAGCACUGGCGACGUUUGGUUUCAUUAGAAGUCGUUUUUGUCAGAGCCAAUCUACAGUGUGCCCUUUAUGCAAGCGUUUCUAGUGUUGGUUUAAAUUAGCAGCAUCCUGCUAAUAACAAAUGCGGCUAGCUUGUUUUGCAGGGAUAACAGAAACUAGAUAGUAAGUGCGGCUUGCCGCACCCCACCCGGUCCAGCCAUAUCCAACCUGGUAUGAAACAAUUUGUAUUUUGUAUGAUUUUACGAUAAAAGCAAUAGUGCAAAGGUUCAGUAUGUUACAGAAAAAGUGAAAGGCAUAGUUUCUAUACAAACCAUAGGCAUAGUGUAUAAGAACAUGUGUUACACAGGCCACAUGUUACAGAUAGAUAAGGUGCCCACUGAUAAAACAAAAAAAUACGAAUAGGAACACAAGCUUUUGUUUUCUCCCUAACAGAUUGACUUGGAGCAUGUAAAUGCUCAACUUGUGAUGAUAGCAUGCAGGUCUUCAUGUGUUUGCUGAUGGUGUAACUUGCACAAGUAACUCCAUUCUUAGUCUGACAAAAUGAUGACAGGUUCCAUGUCUCCAUGGAGCUGCCAGAUCAGAGAAACAAAAAAAAAAUAUGAGAACAGGAGUAAACCGGAGAUGUCAUGAAUAUAAAUUUGUCAAAGGUGCAGAGAUCAAUGCACGGUAUUUAUCUAACCGAACAUGCUAAUUGGUUUGGGAGUAUAACAUUCACUUGAUUUUAUGUGAAAAAAAAAGAGGGUGUCUACCUGAUUGAUGGUGGAUGUAAGUGUGAAGGAGGCAAUGUAACUACAAUCACCCAUGACGAUGCCUUCACAACAAUAAAACAACCCAGCAAGGCCGAAAGACUCGCAUAAGGGCAUAGUCUCCAUAAAUACUUGAUUUAAGCACCAAAACUCAGAUCAAAGCAUAAUAUAGCAAUAGUGGUUCAGCAUAAAGCAACAUUUUAGGGGCAAGCAUAAUAUACAUAUGAUUCAAUACAAAGUAUAACAUAUACAGUAAUAGUGGUUCUUUACAAAGGGCAAGCAUGUGUAUUUUUUUGGUUUGAUUGCACUGUGCUAAUGAAAAUAAUAUCACAAGCUUCUUUAGUUAAUACAGAUGAAUAUGAACCCCCAGGAAGAUAAAAAGUGAAGUAGCAUACUACUGUCUCUGAAGCAUUUGACUACAUACAUGAAGUGCUUUUGAAUAUAAUAUGAAUUUCCACCGCCCUAAAGGGAAAGUAAAUAUAGAAACACAUCGUUUAUGUUCUAGGCAUUGUUAUAUAUCAAAGAAAGAGGCGAAAACAGGCAAAGCACAAACAAUUUUAUAGUGGAGAACUGGACAUACAACUGGCUGGCUUCCUGAGGCUGAAAAUGUUCACAUGUCAUAUAUUACCCACUUUACCGCUAGUAUAUAUACAACUCAAGACAUGAUAGAAGUUCUGUACGCAAGAAUUAACCUGAGUUUGUUUGUUCAAAGGGCUUCUUCCCCAUGAAAGGCUCACACUCUGACCACCAAAAAAGGUCCCAUGCAGCAGUUGCAGAGCUUGCUCAGCAGAAGGCCUGAAUAUGCAGUGACAGGAGUAAUUUAGCCACAUCUCUUCCCAACAGGGAUCUUGACAUGGACGACUUCCCCAUUUGGAGCGAACACUUGACAUUGGAGUCAUGGCCUCCAACAAAUAUCUGAGAACAAAGAAACAAAUAUGUUCAACACACUGAAAAUCAAUUGGUGUAAUACAGAAAAGUAGAACUAAGAACGCACGGUGGUAUUGUUACAUUCAUGUAUUUGUAUUGGCAUUGGUACUGUAAAUGAAAGCAAAAAAGAGUGAAGGAAAUACAUUGUAAGACUUGUUAAAUAACAAAGGACAAGUAAAGCCUACAGGCUGAAACUAUUGCAGAUUCAAAAAGCACAUCCCAUAUUUAAUUUCAAAAUGAGCAUAGAUAUAAACCUGAACUAUUUUAUCUAAGCAUAUGAUUAGGAUAAAUCUAUGGUUAGGAUAAGCCUAAAAGAGCUAGAUUUACAUGCCUGAGACACUGUAGAUUUUCUAUUCAAGCAUAUAGUCAGAAUUCUUGCCUACGAUGCUUCUUCUCAAAGCUGUCAACCACGGUGCCAUGCCUUGCCAUGAGCUUCUCCUGCAUCUCCCUCUCCUUCGCAACCAAGCCCUCUAGCUGUAGCAAGAAUGCACAAAAAGUAUGAUUUAUUUUUGGUAAUCAGAAUAAAUGCGGAAAGGCGGUCAAGAUUUAGAUUGCACGACAUAGCACAGGAAAAUAUGUUUCUCAAUUUCAUUUUUUUAUAUACAACAUAAAUGCGGUCGCAGAAGUUUGUUGAGCAACCCUUUGGCCAUAUCUGAUAAGACUGAGGGGAUGACUAUACAGACAACAACAGCUGCUUCAGCUCAAUCAUGUGACUUAUCUGGCAUGUGAUUAUAUGGGUAAGCAAGGACCAAAUUAAUCUAGCACCUGAAAACAACACUUUGAUUCAAACAACUGCAACCAUGACUUAAUCCAAAUAACUGGAGCAGGCAUAGUUCCCACAUCUUCUACUUAACCAACCAUGCGACUUCGCUGAUCCCCAAUUUAAACUGUAAUGCACCAAAUUAAACCACAUGGCACAUAGUUUAUUACGAUACAACAAGCGACGACAGUCCACCACUAAGUGCCGCUACGGUGGCUGCUAAGGCACACUCCACCUAAACAACCACCCAAAAUGAUCACUGAAAUCCCAAUUCAGCAGCCCAGCCAAUGGCAUGCUUUGGCUCAACUACUCAAAGGGUUCACCAGAUUAGAUAUGUUUAAUUCAGUGUCGAAGUAGAAUAUCUUAGCUAAGCGACACAAAAAAUUACAUAACAUCAUAUGUUUAGUUCUGCAAACUCAGUUCAUCAACACAUCACUGAUAGCAGCAGUCCUAAAGGCAAGAAAAAAUACCAAUGUUUUCAACUUGAUGCUGUAUACGGAAAAUGGCUUGAUUUGCCAGUGUUCGGACAUCAAUAACUCGACAGUCCAAGCGUGUGUCCUGACCAACAUGGACAAGUGGCACUCCCUUCUGCAAAACAACAAGAUACCAUUAGCUGAACCCAAAUAUCAUCAUCGGAGAUUGGAGCAACAAUCUGUAUCCUCCUCCUUUAUGCAUUCAAAGAGGAGGCAAGCAAAUACACAGAUUGUGCAAACUGACAUACUGAUUCAGCUAUUGCAAACUCCUCAGCACUCCGUCUGGCAUCCUCCACGCUGAUUGGUAGCUUCGGGUCAGCCCUGUUGAUGCAGUAGAGCUUCCUGGCCUGAAUAUCCACCUGCCAGCCAUCAAAUGGAAUUACAAAUAACUACUGUGGUGUGUAUGUCAGCCCAUAAUUCAAACAGUCAACAGACAAAGGGGAACUGCAACGAAACGAGAUCUCAAACUAAUAAAAGAUGGGUAAGCAAACGGAACCAUCUCCCUCUCUGCCUCCUCCUCAUCUUCAUGGCACUCACAGGCUGCGGCAUACAAGCAAGAGAAGGCGAGGGGGUGGGCUGACCUCACAUCCUCUCAUCCAUCCCUGUAGCGGGCCUCGUCGGCGAGGACGGCUCGUCGAGGAACUCGGGCUCCUUGUCGCUGGUGGCCAUGUUCCUGGCCUUCUUGGUCGGCUGCGCCAUGCGCCUCUUGGUCGCCGCCGCCGCGUGCCCCUCCUCCUUCUGCUGCUCCCCGGAGGCGGCCGUCUCCUCGUCCUCCCCGAGCGCGAGCUCCUCCUCGGCGAUGGGGACGGGGCAGGGAGGUGGUCUAGGGUUAGGGUUUGGAAGGAGAGAGAGAGGGAGGCGCGGGUGCGAGGUGCCUGUCCGAACAUUUUGGUCAAGUAGGUAAUGCUCAAAUCAGUAGAAAUUCAUGUUUAACGUAGGCAUUCAAACAGGAUAUCAAAAAAAGGAAGAAAUAUUCACAUGUGCAGGCAACUGAACCACCAUCUUUUCACUCAUGCAGUAAUCAACAACAACUAACCUUAUUCAUAGUAGCACCCAUCAGAUUAAGAUUCAGAGACACAUAGCCAAGAUUAAGAUUCAUAGGAACCAAGCAAACAUCACUCAGGCAAGAUUUUAUUGGAAAUCUACUGCAAUACUUAAGCUACUGAUUUUCUAUACCCUGCACAAAUUUUUUCGCACAACCUCAGUGUCGUUUCAUAUGUCCAACGGAUCAUUCAUACAUGGUGGAAAGAUCUCAGUUUUUGUUUCGCUAAUUUACAGUGAAAAGAGAAAUAAAAAACAUAUACAAGCUUGAAGUUCAACUACUAUCAAUACAAUUUUCUUCAGGUUUCUAGUUUUUCUUAGGAGAGAACAACUAAAACAACUGAAUAAAUCAAAUCAAAGGGGAUUAAGGGCUGCUGUAGUACAAGGAAAGAGAAGAGAGGAGGAGAGGGGGACGGACCUCCUUGGACAUUCAUAUCGCUCCACCUCCCUUGCCCUUCUUCUUCUAGUUCUUCUGCUCCUUGAUCAUCCAUCCCCUUCUUCUCCUUUUCUCUGCACAUGGACAUGGUUAGCACCAAAUUGAUGCACCCCAAAACACAAAUCGGUCCAAAUCACAAGUAUUAUACAAGGUAAAAAAAUGAUUUUUUUGAUAAGGAACAAAAGAGGGUAGAUAGAGGGAGAGGGCAGAGGAUACCGUGGCUGCUGCUAUGUUGUGUUGGGGAAGAAGCACACCUCCUCUGCCGCUGCGUGGUGGUGGAGAAGCUGCUCCUAAUAUAAAGCUAUUCCUGCAACCUGUAAUAACACACUCAAGUUAAUGGGAUAAGCACACAAAUUAUUUUCAGUGUAAACAAAACUGAUUUCCCUUAAAAGAUAAACCAAGUGUAGUAAUUGAAGUAACUUUAAGCAAAUAUCAUUACUGCGCUUUUGAACCCGCAGCUACCAAAAAAGACAACAUUAAGAUACACUUGUCAGUCAAAAGUGACUAUAAGUUAGUUGAGGAAACAAGAGUAACAUCCAGAUUGCAGAUUUAUAUGAACAGGAAAGGACACCACAUAUGGCAACAGGACUCUGUCAUGUAGUUCUAAAUCAACGAUUCAUUCAGGAAAGCAGACAACAUCAACAAUGCUCAUUCGUAUGAACCAAAUAAUGUAAUUUUUGCCAAGAACACAAGGGUGUAAAAUUAGAAUAACAACAUGAAUUGCCAUAUCAAUCAAUAAAAUAAGCUAGGUAAAAAGAGUGCAUCAUUCCUGUUGGUGUUUUAUUUCCAUCCAUGAGUCAUUGUCAUCAAAUAAUUUGUGCAUAUACACAGAAUAAAAGGAAACAUGACGUGUAAUAUGAAAUAGAAUAACUGAAUAUUUCUUUGCCAGCAUGGGUAGUGAGGAAAGAAAUUUCACACAUAUGCAACAACAAUAAAACCAUCAAGUUAGCCACCUGGCAAUUAAUUGUCCACACAUCUUAUUGUCACCCUUGUUAACCAAGCCUUUGAGCAUGCACAUGAUGAUUUGCUCAAGCUUUCUUGUGUUCCAUGCCCUACCUGGAGUUUCUGCUAACAAAUGAAAAAAGGAGAUCACCAUAUAAGCAAAAAAGAACAAAGCAAAAUGAGACAAAUAAGCAUGUCAGAGCAGCACCCAGCAUUCACGGUGACAUGGAAGUGCUCUCUGAACUACAACCCAGAAUAAACACAUGUAGUUUUCUCUAAAUGCUAAAAGAUGCAUGGUUUGAAAAUUUUCUAACCCAAACAAUAACUCAAAACCAACCCAUCUGGAUCUGGAACAACACAUUUAAAUCCUAACUAAUCAGGGUAAUCAUUCUUAACAGUAAUCCACAACUACAACCACAAAACAAAAAAAC